Branchiostoma floridae (Florida lancelet) is the source of this 1813-nucleotide long non-coding RNA. RefSeq lists it as uncharacterized. The record is from RefSeq and is a predicted model, not a curated record. Lineage: Eukaryota; Metazoa; Chordata; Leptocardii; Amphioxiformes; Branchiostomatidae. The transcript is spliced from 3 exons.
CCGCCCUGCGAGCCAUGCCGGCAGUGCAGAAGACCGUCCCUCAGAUCGGUUAUUCCAUCGAAACGCUGCUGAUGCAGGAGGCCCUGUCCGGUAUCAGCUCCCUAAACAUCUCAAGCAAAGUAUCUGCCUGGGAGCUAGAACAACAGGCUCGGCCGAAGAAAUUCUUUGCAGUUCGCGAUGGUAAAGCAACUUUGGUUGAGGAGGAUUAGCUGCAGUCCCAAGUCAAUACGCCAGACGUCCUACCAUGUAUGCACGUUCGUCCCUGUAUCAAGUUGGUCUGUUCCUGUGUAAAAUAAUUGCAUCUCAUGUCACUGCUUCUUUCAUAUGUUCUAUCAUUAACUGAAGUAAGAAUGGUUUAUUCGGAAAACAUAUAGUACAAGAUGUCUAACAGUUGUAGCCGGUCGGCUGAAUUGAUGCCAGACCGGACAGCUUCAUACUUCGGAAUACAUUGCUUUUUUAUUCGAAAUUCUAAUACUUGUUGCUUUUACGUUGCUACUGCACUACAACAUUGUUCCAGCUGUGAACACAAAAUCCUCUUCUGUCCUCCUGCAAAAUUAAUACCAUGCAAAAGCAAUUGAAUUUACAAUAAUACAAAUACAUGCGUCGUUUCCGUUUCUACUGUGAAAUUAAGACCUCCAAGAAAUGAAUGGAUUUACAGUAACAAAAAAAGGUGAACCUUGUAUAUUAUGCAUAUUAUGGCAUAUUGUAUGUUUCUUGUAAAAACAGCAGAUAGUGAUUAUGAUGUUAUUGUGAUUGGUAAUUUUCUAACUUAAUGUACUACCAGUGGUUUGAAAAUAUUUCCUCUAAAUAUGAUGUUUCUCGACAAUAUCUCAACAUCUGUAAAAUUUGUGUAUGACAGUAAUAAGAUUGUGGGUGUACGUAUUACUUAUUUUAUUAUCACCAAGAAUGCAUGUAUAACUGCAUAUGCACACUUUUAAAGUAUACACAAAUAGCAUGGCUUCUCAACCAUAUUGCAACAUCAGUUCUGUAAAAUUUGUGGACGGCAUAAGACUGUUAUAAGAUUGCGUAUUACGUAUUGUAGUGAUAUCACAGUAAUAUCACAGAGAAUUCCUGUAUAGGUGCAUAAUUACACUUAUGUAUAUUAUGUACACAUAGCAUAUUGCUUCUCAACAGUAUUUCAACAUCUGUAAAAUUUGUGCACAGCGCACGCAUUUAUAAGAUUGUGUGUGUACGUACUGUUACAUAUGGUAGUGGUAUCACGGUGAUAUCACAGAGAAUGUCCGCAUAGCUGCAUAAGUACAGGCAAGUAUAUACACAUAGCAUGUACGUAUAUUAUGUUUUGCACAUUUUGCUCUGAUGUAUGUAGGUUUUUGGCGAUUAAUUGUGGGUUUACGAAUUACAUAUGGUAGUGGUAUCACGGUAAUAUCGCAGAGAAUGCCUGUAUAGCUGCAUAAGUACACUUAUGUAUGUAUAUUAUGUACACAUUGCAUGAAGCAUGUUUUGUACAUUUUACUUUGACGUAUAUUUUGUUGCGAUAUCUGUAGCUUUAUGAUUUAUCCACUAUAUACAUUUCCAUAAAUGUUUAUAUAAUGGUGCAAUUCUUAUCACAUCCAAGCCAUUCAAAAUCAUACACUCAUUAUUAUCAAUACCAGAAAAAAAUGUAUUUCUUAUUUUAAAUCGGUCCCAACUUCUUGACGACAAUGCGGGGCCAGCAUUGUUCUGAGAGGAGUUGGGGCACUUUGAAAAGUUCUUGUUGUUCCAGGGGGCCACUGAAAUAACAAGGACUUUUCUUACACCAUUACUUCAUUUUUCGAUCUUCCGUAAAAGCAAAAAUACAUAAUUAAAAAAAAAA